GCUGACUAAGAUUCGCCAUGCAUGUCUCAGUAUUCCAGCUACAAUAGCGUAUAUUGAAGUUGCUGCGGUUGAAAAGUUCGUAGUUGGAUUUCUGCCAAGGACGACCGGUCCGCCCUUUGGGUGAGCACCUGGCUCGGCCUCGGCAUCUUCUUGGGGAGCGUGGCUGUACUUGACUGUGUGGCGCGGUGUCCAGGACUUUUACUUUGAGGAAAUUAGAGUGUUUCAAGCAGGCUCACGCCUUGAAUACAUUAGCAUGGAAUAAUAAGAUAAGACCUUGGUUUAUUUUGUUGGUUUCUAGACCCGAGGUAAUGGUUAAUAGGGAUAGUUGGGGGCAUUCGUAUUUAACUGUCAGAGGUGAAAUUCUUGGAUUUGUUAAGGACGGACCACUGCGAAAGCAUUUGCCAAGAAUGUUUUCAUUGAUCAAGAACGAAAGUUAGGGGAUCGAAGACGAUCAGAUACCGUCCUAGUCUUAACCAUAAACCAUGCCGACUAGAGAUUGG
RNAcentral lists this ribosomal RNA (500 nucleotides) under uncultured eukaryote. RNAcentral describes it as "SSU rRNA". It matches the Rfam family "Eukaryotic small subunit ribosomal RNA", at positions 566 to 1056 of the family's 1831-position model. The record is from RNAcentral.